ACGAACGCUGGCGGCGUGCUUCACCCCUGCAAGUCGAACGGAAAGACCCUGCUUUUGUGGGGUGCUCGAGUGGCGAACGGGUGAUUAACACGUGAGUAACCUGCCCUUGACUUUGGGAUAACUUCAGGAAACUGGGGCUAAUACCGGAUAGGAGCUCCUGCUGCAUGGUGGGGGUUGGAAAGUUUCGGCGGUUGGGGAUGGACUCGCGGCUUAUCAGCUUGUUGGUGGGGUAGUGGCUUACCAAGGCUUUGACGGGUAGCCGGCCUGAGAGGGUGACCGGCCACAUUGGGACUGGGAUACGGCCCAGACUCCUACGGGAGGCAGCAGUGGGGAAUAUUGCACAAUGGGCGGAAGCCUGAUGCAGCAACGCCGCGUGCGGGAUGACGGCCUUCGGGUUGUAAACCGCUUUCGCCUGUGACGAAGCGUGAGUGACGGUAAUGGGUAAAGAAGCACCGGCUAACUACGUG
This 467-nucleotide ribosomal RNA is filed under the name uncultured bacterium. RNAcentral describes it as "partial 16S ribosomal RNA". It matches the Rfam family "Bacterial small subunit ribosomal RNA", at positions 29 to 507 of the family's 1533-position model. The record is from RNAcentral.